UGGGGAAUAUUGCACAAUGGGGGAAACCCUGAUGCAGCAACGCCGCGUGAGUGAUGACGGUCUUCAGAUUGUAAAGCUCUGUCUUUGGGGACGAUAAUGACGGUACCCAAGGAGGAAGCCACGGCUAACUACGUGCCAGCAGCCGCGGUAAUACGUAGGUGGCGAGCGUUGUCCGGAUUUACUGGGCGUAAAGGGAGCGUAGGCGGAUUCUUAAGUGGGAUGUGAAAUACCCGGGCUCAACCUGGGUGCUGCAUUCCAAACUGGGAAUCUAGAGUGCAGGAGGGGAGAGUGGAAUUCCUAGUGUAGCGGUGAAAUGCGUAGAGAUUAGGAAGAACACCAGUGGCGAAGGCGACUCUCUGGACUGUAACUGACGCUGAGGCUCGAAAGCGUGGGGAGCAAACAGGAUUAGAUACCCUGGUAGUCCACGCCGUAAACGAUGAGUACUAGCUGUCGGAGGUUACCCCCUUCGGUGGCGCAGCUAACGCAUUAAGUACUCCGCCUGGGAAGUACGCUCGCAAGAGUG
RNAcentral lists this ribosomal RNA (523 nucleotides) under uncultured bacterium. Its description in RNAcentral is "bacterial SSU rRNA". It matches the Rfam family "Bacterial small subunit ribosomal RNA", at positions 355 to 896 of the family's 1533-position model. The record is from RNAcentral.